UGACACGUAGGUGGGUUUGUAAGUCAGACGUGAAAGCCUUCUGUUCAACGGAAGAAUUGCAUCUGAAACUACAAACCUUGAGUGUAGGAGGGGAGAAUGGAACUUCUGGUGGAGCGGUGAAAUGCGUAGAUAUCAGAAGGAACGCCGGCGGCGAAGGCGAUUCUCUGGCCUAUUACUGACACUCAGUGUGCGAAAGCAAGGGGAGCCAACGGGAUUAGAUACCCCGGUAGUCCUAGCCGAAAACGAUGUGCACUAAGAAGAGGGGUUUU
This 269-nucleotide ribosomal RNA is filed under the name uncultured Planctomycetota bacterium. RNAcentral describes it as "uncultured planctomycete partial 16S ribosomal RNA". It matches the Rfam family "Bacterial small subunit ribosomal RNA", at positions 566 to 832 of the family's 1533-position model. Lineage: Bacteria; Pseudomonadati; Planctomycetota. The record is from RNAcentral.